This 221-nucleotide ribosomal RNA is filed under the name uncultured bacterium. RNAcentral's name for it is "partial 16S ribosomal RNA". It matches the Rfam family "Bacterial small subunit ribosomal RNA", at positions 115 to 334 of the family's 1533-position model. The record is from RNAcentral.
GUAUCGCUAACGUACCCCUAAGUCAGGGAUAGCCGGGGGAAACUCCGGGUAAUACCUGUUGACAUCACCUCCUCGCAUGAGGAGGUGCUCAAAGGAGCAAUCCGCUGAGGGAGCGGGCGAUAUCGUAUCAGCUAGUUGGUGAGGUAACGGCUCACCAAGGCGACGACGCGUAGCCGGGCUGAGAGGUCGGCCGGCCACAUUGGGACUGAGACACUGCCCAG